CUUUUCGCUCAUCUCUCUCUCUAAUCUCUUUCAUCACUUUUCCCUUCCUCGCUGAAAAAACCCUAACUUAUAACGCGUCCACCUUCAUUUUUUUCCGGUCGAAACAGGAAAUUAAAGAGACGGAUAGUUAUUUCAUAUCACCUCAGUAUCUCUUUUUGUUUCUCUUGAUGUUUCUUUUCACUUUCACAAAGUAAUCUCAGAUUUUUUUUUUUUUUAUACAAUAUACAAUCUCAGAUCUAUAAAUUGGGGUUAGCGUUUUUUGUUUUUGAGUUUAGGGUUACAGACAAGAGUAAAGAUUUUUCUCGUAGCCUCGAUUCCCCAUCUUCCAGACUUCCACCACCGAAGAUUUACUCUUUCCUUUGAUUUUUCUUCAAAUUCAUCACCAUUAUAAUCGGGAUGAGGAAUUAGUUCGUGGAGGUGAUGCUGAUAGAGGAAACAGGAAUCGAGAAGAAGUAGAGACGGGGAGUUUAAUUUGAAAAGUUAGGGUUUUGAAUUUUAUUGAAGUUUCAAUUUAGUGAUAAACAAGAAGAAAUUAAAGAUUGGGUUUGGUGAUUUGAGGAUUAUAAAUCGAUGUUUGAACUAAAAUUAGAGGAAGGAAAUUGGGAAUUAUUUUAGGGUUCCGAGAAUAGAUGAUGGUGAUUGAAAAUAAAAUUGAUAGUUAGGAUUUUUAUUGGAAGUAUUGAGAAGACUUCCAGUGAUUGUUCGAAGUAUUGAGAAGACUCUGAUUAAGAGAGGAAGUGGCAGAGGAAAUCCUAAGGUGAUUCUUGCUUCAUGGGAAGCCGAAGAAGACAUGGGAGAGCACAUAAAAUCCUAAUUCAGGGGAAGCUGAAGACAGAGGAAGCUGACAGAGGAAGGAUUACCCCUAUUCAGGGGCUUUCCUUAAAAAUGGUAAGAAUUUUUUUGAGUUUCCCCGGGAAGUAAGUUCAGCAAUUGCAUAGCGUUAUUGCACGAUAGUAAAACAAGUGGGGAUGAUCUAUCUAAUCGUCGAGGAGCACGAUUUGGCAAAAGUUGAAAAACUGUUCCAGCAUCAACAAUUAUGAAGUUUACAGGAUGUGGGAUUGCUGAAUGCACAUUUGAGGACAAUAUUCAUAUAGGCGACACUUUCCUCUUUCCUGUUUUGGUCACACUCGUGCUUCCUUCACUCAUCGAACAGUUAAAGUUGUGUUUCAAAGAUGUAGAUGCCGAACUUGAUCACAAAGGUGAUGAUGCUUAUAACGGCGCCGCUGUCUACGAAGACUUCACCGACGAGGCUGCUACGAUCAUCGAACAUUGGACCAUUAAUGCCGUCCCCUUCGGCGCCAGCAUGGCCAUUGACUAUGUCGAGAAGAAGCUUGCUGUUUCAUACAAGGAGGUUGCUCUGAGGCGGCGGAUGCCUUUUCUGCGAUGUGGUGUGCUUAUCCAUGAGGGGAGAUGUGCAUUUCUUUCUUUUCCAGACACGCUAGAGAUUGUAUGAACUCUUGUGGUCCAGCUCUUUUGUUGGCUCACUUCUUUGCUCACUAGCCAAAGAUCCGUCACUUUACGAGAACGAAGGGAAAUUGAAAGAGACGCUCACAGACAUUGCUGCUGCUCAAACAUUGCUGGAGCAAUCCCAGCACUCCCAGACAUUGCUGCUGCUCAAAAACUUAUCUCAGGCUCCAAAUGAGAAGGCUACAGGUCCGAAUGAGAAGAAAAGAUCAAAUAAGUGUCCAGUUUAUAUAGUUUUCUUAAUUUCAAUACAUGUCUGAACCGGUGGAGUACCGUUGUUUCAUUGGAGGGACAGAAUUCUUAAAAGUGCUUUCGAAAAGUAUGGUAAUCUUGUGGAAGCCAAGGAUACUUUGGACGAACAUGUGACUUGGUCUACUCUAGUCUACAGUUUUCCUAUUGGUCUAGGGCACUGGAGCUUUGAGGUUGCGUCUAGGCAGACAGUAUCACUGCCUCACCAGAUCUCUAUAGCGUAAAUCUCGGCUCAGAUGUAGAAUUUUUGUUGUGGCGGCUUAUGGGAUUGAAGAGGUCCGACCCAAUAAAUUGUCCGGAAUCAACUACGCCUACGUGGAAACAUUUAGUUAGCAUGCAAAGGACUUGCACAUGCAGCUCUGUGAAUGGGACCAACCUUCACUGGAAUUGAGAUUUGCUGUACUGUUCAUGUCAAGGUUAUAAUUGCAUCUGAUGUCUAUGUGGAAUCUCUAAUCAUAGUGCAUCUAGUACCCUCGCACUACAAACAUCAUAGUCGGUUAUCCAGGUCUUCAAGUGGCCACCAAUUUUCUAAUGGUUUGCUGAAGACGGUUUACAAUUUUCUAAAGACAUAAAUCAAUAUUACAAUUUGUAAUGGUUUGCUUGUCCUUAAACUGAGUCUUUUGUGAUCUUGGAUUUGUGCCCACAUAAAUGUUCAUGUAAUUUUUGCGGAGUAAUGGAUGUAUAAAGGACUGAGUGCAAUUGAUAGCACAAUAGGUAGCACAUAGAUAGCAUAACGCACUAACAUAGAUAGCACUUUGUAGGGUCAAGUUAAAUCAAAUGUGUCAAUCACAGCUUUUCAUGGAUGGUUAUUUUCAAUAUAAAAGGUAAACAUAACUCUUGCUGGGA
Molecule: long non-coding RNA, 2559 nt
Organism: Papaver somniferum (opium poppy)
Lineage: Eukaryota; Viridiplantae; Streptophyta; Magnoliopsida; Ranunculales; Papaveraceae
Exons: 11
Source: RefSeq, a predicted model, not a curated record